This 2644-nucleotide ribosomal RNA is filed under the name Globobulimina sp. RNAcentral's name for it is "eukaryotic LSU rRNA". It matches the Rfam family "Eukaryotic large subunit ribosomal RNA", at positions 668 to 3340 of the family's 3401-position model. Lineage: Eukaryota; Foraminifera; Rotaliida; Buliminidae. The record is from RNAcentral.
AAGGAGUUUAUGAUAUAUACGAGUCUGCGGGUGCAAAAACCCAUAGGCGCAAUGAAAGUAAGUACAAGUAGCCAAGCCGUCAAAAGCCGCAGCUACAGCCGACCUUGAUCUUCUGAGAAGGGUUUGAGCAAGAGUAUAUCUCAUAAGACCCGAAAGAUGGUGAACUAUACUUGAGUAGCUUGAAGUCUAAGGAAACUUAGAUGGAAGGGCGAACAGGUUCUGACGUGCAAAUCGAUCUCGAAACUUGAGUAUAGGGGCGAUAGACUAAUCGAACUAUCUAGUAGCUGGUUCACUCUGAAGUUUCUCUCAGGAUAGCAGGAGCAAAAUACGCAGUUUUAUCAGGUAAAGCGAAUGAUUAGAGGAAUCGGGAAGCCAAGCUUUUUGACCUAUUCUCAAACUUUAAAUUGGUAAGAACAGGUGGUUAAGCUUAAUUGAACCAUCUGGCGGAAUGCAUUGCUCUUAGUGGGCCAUUUUUGGUAAGCAGAACUGGCGAUGAGGGAUGCUCCUAACGUUGAGUUAAGGCGUCAAAAUACAAGUUAAUCAAGCACCACAAAGGGUGUUAAUUAAUAUAGACAGCACGACAGUGGUCAUGGAAGUUGAAAUCUGCUAAGGAGUGUGUAACAACUCACGUGCCGAAUUAAUUAGCCCCGAAAAUGGAUGACAUUCAAACUUGUUGCCGAUACUCGACCAUCAGACUAAAUGUGCGCAGUCUGAUGUGUAAGAGUGCGUGGCGGCUCUGUUGAAGGCGCUGGCGUGAGCCUCGCUGGAAAAGCCGCUAGUGCAGAUCUUGGUGGUAGUAGCAAUUAUUCAAAUGAGAACUUUGAAGGCCGAGUAAAAGUAAAGGUUUGAUGAGAAACGCAUUGUGUCAUCAGUUAGUCGCUCCUAAGGCAUAGGGAAAUUCCCUGUAACACAAGAGCGAUUUCUUUGCUCGUUGCCAAAAGGGAGUCCGGUUAAUAUUCCGGAACUUGGUUGAGGAUAAUAUGUGGUAACACAAGUGAGCUUGGGGACGUCAGUCCUAUCCCCUGAAAGAGUUAUCUUUUCUUUUUAACCAGCUGUCGCCCUUGAAUUGGAUUAUCCAGAGGUAGGGCUUACAUGCUGGGCAGAACCUCACACUUAUGUAAGGUCAGGUGGUAGGGAAUGAUUCUUAAAAACCCGAGUAAGAGAUUUAUUCGCUCACCAAAGCGUACUCAUAACCGCAUCAGGUGCUUCAGGUUAACAGCCUCUGGUCAAUUAGAAGAAUGUAGAUAAGGGAAUUCGGCAAGUUUAAUCCGUAAUUUCGAGAAAAGGAUUGGCUCUAAGGAUUGGGUUACGAAGCCCUGGUCCUGAACGCUUAGCUUCUUUGCUGCUGUCGAGGGCAACUUUGACGGCUGCAUUGAGGCGAACGCUGGAAGGCCAGGGAUGCCUUCGCGGGCGUUUCGUAGCAAUUAACAAUUAACUUAGAACUGAAACGGACAAGAGGAAUCCGACUGUUUACUUAAAACAUAGCUUUGUGAUGGUGUGAAAACACGUUGACACAAAGUGAUUUCUGCCCAGUGCUAGAAUUGUCAAAGUGAAGAAAUUCGUUUAAGCGCUAGUAAACGGCGGGAGUAACUAUGACUCUCUUAAGGUAGCCAAAUGCCUUGUCGUUUAAUUUGCGACGCGCAUGAAUGGAUCAAUGAGAUUCCUAAUGUCCCUAUCUACUAUCUAGCGAAACCACAGUAAAGGGAACGGGCUUUAGAUAUAAUCAGCGGGGAAAGAAGACCCUGUUGAGCUUGACCAUAGUAAGAUUUUGUGAAAUGACGGUGAAGGUAUAGCCUAAGUGGGAGUGCAAACGAUCCUGUAAAACCACUACUUUGCUUGCCAUUUUACUUAUUCCGUGAGGUUGUGACCUCUCACGAGGUUCUAGCUCCAAGGCGAAGCUUCGCUUCGCCGAUCAAAGCGGAAGACAGAAUUUUGUAGGUGGUUUGGCUGGGGCGGUACAACUGCAAAACAAUAACGCAGUUGUCCUAAGUUAAGCUCAAAGAGAACAGAAAUCUCUUGUAGACUAUAAGGGGAAAAGCUUAAUUGAUUUUGAUUUUCAGUACAAAUACAAACUGUGAAAGCAUGGCCUAACGAUCCUUUAGCCUUUAAAAGUUUUAAGCUAGAGGUGUCAGAAAAGUUACCACCGGGAUAACUGAUUCGUGGCAGCCAAGAGUCCCAAUCGACGUUGCUUUUUGAUCCUUCGAUGUCGGCUCUUCCUAUCAUUGGGAAGCAGAAUUCCCAAAGUGUCGGAUUGUUCACCCGCUAACAGGGAACGUGAGCUGGGUUUAGACCGUCGUGAGACAGGUUAGUUUUACCCUACUGAUGAAUUGGUUAUCGCGACAGUAAUCAGUCUUAGUACGAGAGGAACCGACUGUUCGUAUAUUUGGUAAUGGGGUUGGUUGAACAGCCAAUGCCCCAAAGCUAUCAUACGCAGGAUAAUGGCUGAACGCCUCUAAGUCAGAAUCCAUGCUGGAACCGAUGAUAUUCACCUUGACCGAUGUUCGUGUAUAACGAUAACCUUCGGGUCAACAUCAUACAAUACCGGCACUGCCUCUUAAAAGGGCACGUACGGUGAAAAAUAAUUUCCAAUGUUGGUCGAGUUAAAUCCUUUGUAGACGACUUAAUAUGGAACGGAGUACUGUAA